GCCUCUAUAGCUGAAUGGUAAAGCUGCUCCCUCUUAAGGAGAAGAUUCUAAGUUCGAUUCUUAGUGGAGGUA
This 72-nucleotide transfer RNA is filed under the name Crassvirales sp. RNAcentral describes it as "tRNA-Lys". It matches the Rfam family "tRNA". From Rfam's summary of the family: Transfer RNA (tRNA) molecules are approximately 80 nucleotides in length. Their secondary structure includes four short double-helical elements and three loops (D, anti-codon, and T loops). The record is from RNAcentral. Lineage: Duplodnaviria; Heunggongvirae; Uroviricota; Caudoviricetes; Crassvirales.